GGCGGAAGUAGGUGAGAAGUUUCUGGAGGUGGUGACACGCCAGCUGAGAGCCUUCUGAAAAGUGAGUAGCUUUGUCCCUAAAGCAUAAGCCCACUGUCCGAAUAAGGUUGCGUUUAUAGUGCUCUUCUCUGUGACUCGUUAGCUGGGUCUUCCACAGCCUGGUUCCUUCUUCAUUCUUCCUACUCCCUACAACCUCACUCUGUCCUGACCCCAAAGUGGCAGCUAGAAACCAUCUCAGACACAAGUGUCACCAACAUGGGGCUGAGCAGCAGAAGGGCAGAGGGGCCUGCUAGGAUGACGGAUGAGGAAGCCCUGGGGCUAGAGGACAUCUGUCCCCCUUUCCCCUUCUACCUGAUGGGGAAGAUCUUUUGCUCAUAGAUGAAACCUUAAUAGCCCCAAGGCUACAGCUAAACAAGGCAUUGGAUGGAGAAAGGGGUCUAACAGAAGUCCUGCUCACUACUGCUUUCUGGAACCCCAAAUUGUAGAGUAAACCUAUGUCAGAUGGUUUGGUGAAUUGUCGGCUGUCAGCUCCUUCAGAAUGGCCCUCAAAGUCCUCUCCGUUCCUCCCAAGUAUGGAGGAUACAGUGUUAGGGUCUGCAGCUGCCCUUGAAGAGAACGCUAGAGAAAUGGCUUAGAAAUUGUACAGGUUAACCAUGGGAGACAGCCUGGACUCCUCACCUAACCUCUGGGGAAGCAGAUCUCUCCAAGAGGAGCCCCUGGAGAGGAGAAGUGCUGAGGAAGUCGGGAUUGGACAUCAAACUGAACAGGACCAGCCCCUCUAGCUGGUGGUACCAAGUACCAGGCUGUCACCCGGCUCCACGGCCUGCUCCGUGGGGCCGCAGGUAACGCGCCAGCAGUCCUUUUGGGGACCACACCCUUGUCCCAACACAAGCCCAGGACACAAGGCACAAACCCCCAGUGCUUCCUUCCCCAGCUGAGUGGUGAAGAAUUCAAUCAUUGAUGCCUUCUCAUUCACAGUCUUGCUUGUGGACAGCAGCAAGUGGGAAGGACUGGCCACAGGGGACUGCCAUCCUGUUGCGCAUGAUCGUGAAAGGGCUACUCAAGGUCGAAAACCUCACAUCAGGUGGUUUGAAGUGCUGCUUUGCAGGAGGCAUGCCUGAGAGGACUAGGUCCGAGGUUUUGCUUGCCUUCCCUUCCCUUCCUGAAAACGUACCUGUGCUGCGUCCCGCACUGAGCCAAACCUCCUGACUUCUGUUAGUGGCCGUAGCCCUUCACCUGUCUGACUCCUUUUUGUCCCUCUAGGUCUCAGCUCAGAUGCCACCAACAGUUAAUGUCACAUCACCCUGUUUAAUUCUUUCAGAGCACUCAUUGCUAUCAGCAGUUUUCUUGUUUACUGUGUGCCUCGCUGGAAUGUGAGUGUCACGAGGACAGGUCACCUGAUGUGUUCACUAGUGUAUCUAUUGCUAGGGCCCAGAACAUUCUUGGCUCAUAGCUUGUAACAGUUGGAUGAAUGUUCCCUCUCCUUGGAGUAUCUUCUUAGGAACUUCAGGAAAUACAAUGAUAAAUCCAACUGAGUAAGAGCUUAUGAUGAGACUUUGUGGAAUCCUGGUGGAGAAGGUCUUUGAGUGAGGGGAAAAGUCUUUUAAAAAUGCUCUAGAGGCAUUUUCUCAGUUCUGGAUGCUUUGCGUAUUUCCAUCAGGGAGAUCCAAUUAGUUCAUGAGUACCAGUUAUUCCCUCCCAAAUAUCUUCCUGGAAAAUAGGUACAGGUUUUUGGGUUUUGUUUUUUUUUUCCAUCUUUUGACAACUCCCUACCCCAUCCUGCCAAAAUAUUAGGUUUUAGAAUCCUAUCACGUUGAACUUCAACUUCUUUCCCUCAAAUCCCAUGGUUUGAAAUUGGGGCAUUUCAGGGGUCAGAGGGGAGCCCAGGAAGCCGAUUGUACUCCAUGUAAGUGCUGAAUACUCUAGACUCCCCAAGUGGGGGGGGAUAGAGGAGGGUCUCUCCCCUGAAGUGACUAUGUAAUUCAUGGAAAGGAAGGCAAACCCCACACAGUCCUGUGACUUGGGCAUUCUGGGGACUCUACAGAGCAGAAAGCAAAAUUAUAGCAAUUUAGUAACUUAAAUUUUUUUUUUAAUGUUUCUUUAUUUUUGAGAGACAGAGUGCAAGUGGGGGAGGGCCAGAGAGAGCAGGAGACACAGAAUCCAAAGCAGACUUCAGGGUCUGAGCUGUAAGCACAGAGCUCAAUGCGGGGCUAGAACUCACAAACAAUGAGAUCAUGACCUGAGCUGAAGUCAGACGCUCAACUGACGUAGCCACCCAGGCACCCCACAUUUGGUAACUUUUUUAAUAAGUUGGCACUAUUUGUUUCCCAUCAUGCCCUGUAUGAGAACAGUGACUGCACAUCUGUGGCUAGAGGUGUUUCUGCUGGGAGGCUGUUUAUGGAAUUUCUCAUUUUCCCGGUCGGCUCUCCUUGCCAUGAACUAGUUUCACCCAGUAGAGAGCUAUUUCUAGAGACAGCUUUAACUUAAUGGCAGGGCCAGAUAGAAUUUUAGUUUGUUCUUGACAAUAUCUUUCUCCCUUUGUUCUUCAACUACCCUUCCCUGCUCUGGGCUCAUGGGUCAGGUGGCCCCUUCAUCUCUCAGGCUGGAGGGCAGUGACUCACAGAGGGUGGUAAUAGCCUAUGUUGUUGCUACAGCUGCUGGAAUGAGCUGUUGUCUAAGACCUUAGGAUGAGGUUUUCCUUCUGGCUUAUCAGUUAACACUUGGGCUUCUAUAAUCCUAAGCAUUUUCACUUCCAAGAAAGCUAUUAAGACCAAUGAGAAAAAAAGAAGGAAAAGUAUUUGGUGGUGUCAGCUCUUCUGAGAUACUAGGUGGUAUAAGAAGGAUCUAGGAAAUGUUGGGGGGAGACUCCAUUCCUUUUAAUAAUUUAAUAAUGGAGUUGUAUCAGUCAGAACACACUAAGUUAUACUGCGGUAACAAAUACCACCACCAUCUCAUCUCAGUGGCUUAAAAAUAAAGGAAGAUAUAUUUCUCACUGAGGCUAUAGUCUGUCAUAUUGGGCAGGUGAGGUGACCUCUGCUUAUCGUAGGCCCUCAGGUACCCAGCCUGAUGGCUGUUGGUUGCCUCACUAAAGAGGAAGAGUUCUGGGGUGGGGGGGUCUGCCUUGCAUAGACCAUUAAGUGCUGUGGUCCAGAAGUGAUGUUCAAGCAUGCCCAAACACAAGAGGGGUAGGAGUACAAUCUUAUAGAGUCUGAAGGUGGGAAGAGUUGGAAAGAGAUCAGCCUCAAAGUUAGCAACAGAAGUUGACUGAAUUGGACUUCGGAACAGUUCAAACCUUUGAGACUCUGACUUGUGAUUGUUUCAAUCAUUUAUUGGGCUUGAGGGCCAUAACAGUUUGGUUUCAUGGCCAUGUUCUGCUUUGGCCUAGAGAGCUAUUGCUGUGUUUAUUUUCUCAAAAGCCUCUUUUUGGUCAGUUAGUAUCAAGAGGCAACAUUAGAGGGUGGAAGGUAAUUGGGAUUAGGAGUUGAGAUAUGGUAUCACAGGCAUGGCUAUUUUAGCACUGUUUGGAGAACACAAACUUAGGUCAUAUUAAUAGAAGUAGAAGAUGUGGAUCAAGGGAGGUGAUAAUCCUCCUUUAUUUUGCUGUACUUAUACCCUGCCUGAAUGUCAUACUUUGAAAGUAACUUUGACAAGCUUUGUCAAGCUGGAACCCAGGAAGUGUUAUCAAGGGGAGAGGAGAGUCUUGAAAAUUAUUGAAAGGGAUAACUUGGCAGCUGUUGUAUUUGAAAAGCUGUUGGAAGUUUUGUUUGUUUGUUUGUUUUUUACUGUUGAAAAAGUUACCUCCCUAUUCUGAAAUGGAUUAGACUGCACUGUGAGCAGCAUUCUCAUUGCUAUAAGUGACCAAAGAAAGCAGAGAAAGGAGUUUGACCUUCCAGACAAGGGAAGAAGGGUGGUUGUAGUAGGCAGGUUCUUGGGUCUCUUCCAAUCUGUCAUGAUUGUUUCUCUGACUCAGUUUUUCUCAGAAAUAAAGAAUAAGUCUUAAUCAUGGGAGAAAGAGUGAAUUCCAAGUGAGACUCCACUAUAUAAAAUGUUCAUACUGUUCUGCUGCUAAUCCCUCAAGAAUCUUGACAUUGGGUGAUAGGCUCUCCAUUUUAUAUGUAAAGUAACCGAGGCUGAGAAGAAAGUCAAGCACACGUAUAAUCUCACAAGGUGCUUUGGCUUAAGUGCAGCAUCUGGAACCAGACAGCUUGGGUUUACGUUCUGGCUCUGGAGCCUGCUAGCUGUGCAACCUUGGGUAAGUCAUUUAACCUCUCUGUUUUAUACUCUGUAAAAUGGAAAUGAUAGCACCUCAUAGGGUCGUGAGGAUUAACUGACUUAAUUAUACAGAGCAUAUUGAAUGUUUAGUACCCUGGCACAGAAUAUGAGUUGUCUAUGUUUCAUCUGUUAUUUAAACCAUUAUCAAUGUCUGCACUAAGUUUGAAACACUAUAGGAAUUUGAUUCAUAUAAAUAGGAAGGCCAAACUAAUUUCUCUUUUACUUUCUCUCGUGACUCAUGAAGAUAUAAUGAUACUUUUCUCCCUUUCUGGAAAUGGCUCUGUUCUAGCAUUUCAACAUAAUCCGAGAGGUGAGGUUUCAAAAUUGAAGAGUAUUAGAUAUAUUCUAAACCCACGAAUCAUGUUUACAGACCUGAAUCCUCCAAAGCCAUCUUGUAAGCCGAUAGCAGGAGAGAGGCUGUAUGUUUGGGAAUAUUCACAAAGAAUUGUUUUCACUAGUCCCAUCAGGAAAUUGAUCAGAAAUCAGCCUUUCUGAUCCAGAUUUCAAGCUAUGUGCCACCACCCCCCCUCAACUUUCCAAAUACUCAAACUCAAUAUUUUUUUAGUGUAUUGGGUCUAAGUUUUUGUAUUUAUCAGGUUUAAACUGAAUAGCAGCAUGACCCUGGGGCCAUUGUCUCAGAAUCCAUUCCCAAGUCUAGUGUAAACGCAAACAUAAAUGCAAACAAGAGCAUGCUUCUGGUCAGGUGGUGGGGUGCAGGGCGGGGGUAAAAGUCCCAAUGAGGCUCAUGAGACUAAAGCAUUAUUGGUAUGCUUUGUUGAUAGGGGUUUCUUGUUUCCUCUCUCUGGCAGACGUCUUAGUCAAAGUGAUGGUUAAGUCAGAGCUCCUCAAAGAGUCUUUGAGUGGGGACCCUUCCAAAGUGUUAAAAUCUGUGGUGAGAGAAAUUAAGCAGGAGGGGAGAUGAGGCCCAGACUAAGUACCUGUGUGCCCACAGACCCUUCCUGUUCUAGUGACAAGGUCAGCAGUCUCUGGUGGGGAUCCCCACCCCUGCACGUUCUCAUUUUCUCUUUCUCCCUCUCCCCACUCCAUCCUCCUUUCCCAGGCCCACCGCCCUCCUCUCCCUCCCCCAGGUGGGAAGCUGUGCUCCAUACCCUGACUGCUUUCUGGCUGGGAUCAGGGGACACAUGAAAGAAGGAUGUCAGACCGGGGUUUAGGUGAUUAUGCUCUAGUUCCAGCUGCAUCCCUAAUAGAGUUUUGGACAAAGUCCCCAUUCCAAAUCUGUUUUCUUAGCUCUAUAAAGUCCGCAUGUGAGUUUAACAAAGUUUCCAGUUCUAAAAGUUUCUAACUUACUAAGACCUAAAUUGACUGGGAUACUACUACUGUAUCUGUGUUAUUGCCGGAUCUCUCAACUGGUUGCUGAGCUGUUUGGGGGAAGGACCAUAGGUACUGAGAUGGUACAAAGGAGUACCCAUCUCACACUCUUUGUCUCCUAAGGCUGGAUACAGCCUUAGGCUGUUAAUAGACCUCAGAGAUUGUGGUAACUCUGCUUUGUUCACCUUCAGUUGAUAAUAUGAUUCUUCCUCUAACUAAUUUUCUUCCUGUAAAAAGAUCUGGCAUAAUUUCUGUGCCCCAGUUUCCUCUUCUAUAAAAUGAGAAUAAUAGUACUUACUUCAUAAGAUUGUUAUGAAGAUUAAAUGAGUUAAUAUGAAGAGUUUAAAACAGUGCCUGGCAUGUAAUACAAUCUCGCAAGUGUUAGUGGUUAUGAGACAUUGCUCAGAGGGCUAUAAAUGAUCAUGCCCCUUCUGGAAGACAGGGUAACAGAUAUAUCAAGAGAACAAAUGGUUCUCAGGCCCACAUAUCCCACUUCUGGAAAUCCCAGAAAGAUGGAACUUGGAAAACUCAUACAUCAUUAUAUUUAUCACAAGAUUAUCACAAUGAAAGUUAGAAAUAUGAGUGAUGAACAAGAUCAAAUAAAUUAUGGCACCCUCUACUUGACUCCUUUACAGCCACUAAAAGACAAUAGCAAUACAAAUCUCUGAAAAUCUGCAAACCUGUGUGCAUACAACGUAACUCCAUAUGAGAAAUGAAGUGCACACACUGAAGUGUGAAAUGUGUAGUAUUGUGGGUUUUCCCUUUUCUUUCAUAACUAAAAAGGAGGAGAUCUGUAGCAGAUGCAAAAGAUAGUCAAAAAAUGGGAGCACAAGAUAAUAAGUUUCUUUCCUUAUCUCAGGAAGACUUGACUUUAUUUAUUUAUUUAUUUUUAAUGUUUUAAUGUUUAUUUAUUUUUGAAAGGGGGGGGUGGGUAGUGAGAGAGGGAGACACAGAAUACGAAGCAGGCUCCAAAGUGUCAGCACAGAGCCUGAUGCAGGGCUCAAACUCAUGAACUACGAGGUCAUGACCUGAGCCAAAGUCGGACGCUUAACCAACUGAGCCACCCAGGCACCCCGGAAGACUUGACUUUAAUGACAAUUAUCACUUAGCAGUUCUUUUCUCAGAUUAGUUGCCUUUAACUCCUGUUCUUAAAGUUUACUCAGAAAAAGACACUCCAUUAGAAAUAAGCCACAGCUAUCUACCUAGGGCUGCGGUGCACCAGAUUUUUUGGGUACAACACUCCCUUGUGUUCUGGGGCUGAAGGCAGCCUCCGUAAUCAGUUGGUAGGAAUGUGUUGAGUCUUGACCAGCUGUAAUAUGGUGGUCUCAUACAAUCUCUGCUUUUGUUUACAGAUCUUUGGAGAAAAGGACUACUAUUCAUCCCCAAAUGAGGAGGGCAGGCUGACUGGAAUGGAAAAGUAUGUUCAGGAGGUUUGGUUGUUUAUUCGAGAUGUGUUGAUAUGUAGUUAUUCCAUCUGGGGCGGGGGCGGGGGAGCCUAAUUAAUUUACAUAUAGUCCAAGUACCCGAAAUGGGGGAAAUUCUAUCAAGUGUUAAAACUAGAGUGCUAGAUAAGACUUUGACACAACUUUCCCUUGCCUUGUUGUAAAUGGGAGAACAACCUGGUAAAAUACAAUAAACUAGAGCCAUUAACAUCCCAGGGAAUGUAAUUAAAAACCACCUCUUCAGGCUAAAUUUUCAUGGGAGAGAGAGAUGUUUAUACAGACAAGAACAAAGACUUGUUACCUGAUGGAAAGGACUAGAGUUUGGAUAACAAACUAAGUUAAUGAAUUCAACAGUCUACGAUAUAGUUUCAUAAUUUUAUGGUCUAAUCUUAGUCUCUUCAAAAACUAACAUUUCUCUACCAAGAGGUAUCUAGAUUGUGUUUUCUAUUCUUCCCUUCUAUUUCUUUUAAAGUUUAUUUAUUUAUUUUGAGAGCGGUGGGCAGAGAGGGAGAGGGGGAGAGAAUCCCAAGAUGGCUCUGCACUGCCCCCAAUGUGGGCCUUGAACUCAUGAACUGUGAGAUCAUGACCUGGGCUGAAACCAAGAGUUGGAUGCUUAGCCAGUUGAGCCAUCCAGGGGCCCCUCUAUUCUUCUCUUCUAAAACAUUCCUAGAAAAGAUGCCAUGAAUAUCACAUAUAGUUUCUGGUAACGCUUAAUUAAGAUCUCAAGCAGUGAGUGUGCCUGAUUCUCUGUCUUAUCAGCUAAGGACCCUCAUCGAGGAUGCCCUAAGAACCCAUGAGGUGGAGAAAACAUUCCCCUUUCUUGAAGCUGUUGAUGGGUCUCUUGGCUGCUGGUGGCAGUCAGUAUUUACUAUGCUUGGAAGAUUAGGCAAGAUUCAGCCUGGAUUGAGUAAAUAGGAAAAGUCCCCCAGUGCUAGUCCAUGUCAUUUCCCAUGGAGAGCUGCCCCUUCUCAGUCAUCACCAUGGGAGAGUUAUGCUUGCCUUCCGGCCUAAGGAAGGGUUGACUGUAUUAGUUCAUCUAAUUAUGUCAUAUUUUAUUUCACUCCUACUAUGGAUCAGGCAUUGUCCUGGGUACUUGGAGUUCAACAGUGAGCCUAAAAGACUAAUUCCUUCCCGAUGGACUUUACAGUCUAGCUAGGAGACAAGCAAGAAAAUUGCAGAGUAUGUUAGUUGAUAAGUUGAUCUGUUCUAUUGAGAAAUGUUCUUUCAAGGUGGUAAGGGAAAACCCUGUUGAGAAGGCAUGUGGGAGAGAGCUGUGCAGCUAGCCAGCAGGGUGAAGAGGCCUCCAGAUAGAUGAUGCUGAGGCCCUGAGGCAGGCUUGUGGCUUAGACCAACAAGAGUGGGAAAAAGGCAGAAGAUGAGUCUUUGGAAUAGUCUGGAGGAUAGUACAGCAGAAGGGACCAGAUAGUGAGACUAACCAGAGUAGUCUAUUCUUCUAUUUUUAGAUGCGAAUGAGUGCGAAAUUGGCCUGGAGCUCUGUGAUGAUGGAGCAGAAUGUGUGAACAGAUCUGGCUCUUACUAAUGUCACUUCCAAAAGGAGUAUGAAGACCAUACCCCAUGCAGCCUGGCACGCUGUGUGUGCACACUCCUCACAAAGGCACUGGUUGCCCAGAUGCCCUCUUGUGUGUAUGCUUAUAAGCUGUCGGGAUCACUUGUGAGACCUGUAGCAUCCUCAGGUCAGGGCUGAGCUCUCAUUCUGAUGCCUCUGGCCACAAACACCAAAGCAAACAUUCUCUGAAGGAUACAAAGUCCAGAAACUGUUCUAGAGCUUGGAACGUGGUAUAAAAGCACUUACUGGGAGGAUCUUCAUUGUGCUGAUUUUUCUUUUGCAGGCUUUAGCUUUGGAAUACUUCCAUAAGGAUUCCAUUCCUGACUCCGUUCAAAGGAGUUGUGUGUAGAAUUUAACUUGAACAUCUGGUUGUUUCACCAGAGCUCCAUCUGUCAUGCCCUGGGGAGAGGGCCUAUUUGUUGGGGGCGGCAGAGGGGGUGUGUGUUGCUUCAAGACUCAGCCUUUUAGACAUUUUCUUACCAAAGAUGAAAUUGGGCAGGAACUUGCACAGGAUUGAGUGAGCUUCUUCUGAACAGGUGUGGCAUAAAGCAAUUGGUAAUGAACUAGUGGAUGCCCUUAGCCUUUUUAAGGAGUUAUUGCUGGUGAUGGUAAUUUGUUUGGGACCUCUGAAAUAAUAUAAACUUCCUGGUGCUGCCACAGGCAGGUCAAUAGGCACGAUUUCUAUUUCUCAACUUGCUAACUUGCUGGGGGACCUUGGUCUUUGGUUCUCAAAUAUCCCUGAGAAACAAAGGAUUCAACUAGACAUCAAAGGUUUUGUCUAGCUCUUUGCAUAUUAGAUGUUGACAUUUCAGCAAAGAUGCCAUUAGACCCCAAGGGCAGGUGGGUGAACUUGCAAUGCUAUUUGCAUAGUUCUUUGGUUUUGUGUGUGUGUGUGUGUGUGUGUGUGUGUUUCUUAGUUGUCAUAUUUCAAAGGAAGAUUGAAUAUGUCACAAAAUACAGACUCAGUAUGAAUUUCUUAUGGCUAGGAAUCUACUUGUGACUGACAAUUUGUAGUUUUUUCAUGUUUUUUCUCUUCCCGCACCCUCCAAGUAUCCAGAUAAGGCAAUGUUUUUAUUUACUCUGCUAUUACAGAAUAGCCUGGGUGAUGUAUAAACAACAGAAAUUGUUCUGAAAGCUAGAAGGCCAAGAUCAAGGCUCUAGCAGAUUCAGCGUCUGAUGAGAACCUGCUUCAUAGUUCUUAGAUAGCCAUAUUCUUGCUGUGUCUUCACACAGAGGAAAUGGGCGAGGGUGUCUCUUGGGCCUCUUUUAUAAGGAUACUAAUCCCAUGUACAAACGCUCAACCCUCAUGAUCUAAUCACCUCCCAAUUCCACCUCCUAAUAACAUGACCUUGGGGUUGGGAUUUUGGUGUAUUAAUCUGGAAAGGAUAUAAGCAUUCAGUCCACUGUAGGCAGUGACAAGAGUUAAGCUGAAAUAAGUUCUGUGAGGCAGCCAUCUUGAAGUUUCGGAAAUCUGACAUCUGUGGAUUUUGCUCUAACGAUAGUUUCUAGAUGGUAUGCAAACUAGUUCUAGUUCUUUGGAUCUAUAGUAAGUUACAUGAUGAUAGAAUACAUUUUGGAAUACAGCUGGCUCUUGUUCUUCUCUGGUCUCUUUAAUGAUUUCUGUCUUUUUAAAAAUAGACAAAAUUAGGGGUGACUGGGUGAUUCAGUUGGUUAAGUGUCCAACUCUUGAUUUCAGCUCAGGUCUUGAUCUCAGGGUCGUGAGUUCAAGCCCUGUUUGGGCUCCACACUGGGCAAGAAGCCUACUUAGAGAAAAUAGACAAAAUAAAUUUCUGAUAUGCCUAACAUGGAAGACUUUUAGUCAUUAGCUCUUAGGCAAUUUAGAUUCCAUAUCACAAGAGGAUGUGGGACAUUUUUCAAAGUUAACUCUGUGUAUGAAUAGGGUUCUUGAGGGAGCUAUGUAGCAAAAGUUGGUGAAAGGUCCUUACAUUACCUGAUUCAUUUUGUUCCAAGUCUAGCUUUGGCUUUGAUAAAAUAUUAACAAUUCAUUUGUUUAUUCUCUCAAAAAAUAAGUACCUACUAAUGUAUCAGGCAAUAUGCUAGGGACAGGGGAUAAAAGUAUAAAUCUCUGAAGGCACUUUUGAGAGCCCAUUAGGUAAUGGAAUAUAAGCCUAUCAUUUAGUUCUCUUUAAAAAAAAAAUGUUUCUUUGUAUUUCAGGAGUUGACCUGGACCUGCUGGUUGGAGUUGCUGGUUCCUUUCAGUCGCGCUCAUGUUGACUAUUGGCCUCAUGUGGCUUGUGACUAGAACCUACAUCAAGAAGGAAAAUUCUCUGGGUCAGAAUGUGGCACCACAGGAAUGCCUGCCUAUAGCACCUGCCUUUGACCUGAUGGACCUCUGCAAACACCUUCCCUUCAACCCCUACCAGCCUAAGCCCCAUGCCAAGGAUCCACAUGGUGCUCCAGGCAAGAAUGUUCCUCAGAACAGGGAACUGCAGCUGUGGGUAGAGCAAUCAGGUUCUGAGGGUGGCUGCUGCCUCUAGAAAGGGUGGGGGUAGAAGACCUUGUCCUUUGGAGGUACAAACUUCACUGUGCCAUCAAAUCACACACUCAUGAACUUAGGAAGAAGUACCUUGGUUCUGAUUCUGUCACUUCUGUUCUCUGAUUCCAACUGUGUUGUGGUUCCUGACUCUCCCUGGGCAGAAGGCCUAUUUGCUGGGGGGCAGAGGAGGGGGUGUAUCUUGCCUCAAGACUCAGCCUAUAAUUCCAGCAAUGGACUGAGGUAGUCUUCCGGUGACCCAGACACUUCAGGUGAUGAGUGUGGUCCACAGGAAGUGUCCAGGGCAGCAGGAAGCACAUGGUACCAACCUCCAAAGUUGAAUGAGUUUAUCAGUGGACAGAUUAGAGAACUGUUAACAUAGUUUAGAAAACUCAACCUCAGGACUUUUCUCCCUUUGUAUGGGAAAAGAAACUCCCCUAAAAGUAGUGGGUGAGAACUCUUGAUUCUUUUUCCUUCAUACUUGGUUGCAUUUUAUUGGAUUAUAAAAUUGUACUUAUGGAAAGAUUCUGUCUUCUGUUCUUCAUCUAUUUUGGCUACUACAUGUGCCAGGUUGGUAUCAGAGCCCUACAG
RNAcentral lists this long non-coding RNA (11695 nucleotides) under Lynx pardinus (Iberian lynx). The record is from RNAcentral. Lineage: Eukaryota; Metazoa; Chordata; Mammalia; Carnivora; Felidae.